Molecule: long non-coding RNA, 380 nt
Organism: Glycine soja
Lineage: Eukaryota; Viridiplantae; Streptophyta; Magnoliopsida; Fabales; Fabaceae
Exons: 3
Source: RefSeq, a predicted model, not a curated record
UCUAGAUAGAAUUUUGAAAUUAUGUUUUCCUUGAUUCAAAUUCUCAGAUUUUCUUUUUUGCUUGUUGACCAUAUCUCUAUCUGUCCAAGUAAUCUAUUUUUGAUUUUGUAAUUCUUGGUUGGAUUUGAUAAAGGGUUUUCAAGAGCAUCAAUCUGAAAAUGAGUGAGAAUGAGAAUACCCAAAACUUGGACAUUGUAGAUUUGGAGAAAGAUGAGGUUUCAAAAAACAAGGCAAAACAAACAGACAUAAACGAGGUUCAAGAAGCAUUAAAAACAAGUUGUAAGAAGACUACUUCAGUAAAAAAGAAAGAGACAGUAGCGGGAGAGAGUUCAACAUCUACAACGAAGAAAAGAAAAACUUUACUAAUUAGAGCUUCUAAU